Molecule: long non-coding RNA, 1433 nt
Filed under: Gopherus agassizii (Agassiz's desert tortoise)
Lineage: Eukaryota; Metazoa; Chordata; Testudines; Testudinidae
Description: lncRNA (ENSGAGG00000015837.1)
Source: RNAcentral
GAGAAAGAUUGCUGGUGAGGAGCUCUGUCAAUAUCCGAAGCUGCUGCUGAGGCUUUGAUCAAGUAGGGAGCUUCAGAGAUGGUUGAUGGCUUCACUGGAGCCAGGGCAGAGACUAUUGCUGUGCCUGUAACUGACUGAAGUGGGCCUGCAGUGAAGAAACUGUGAGUAACCCCAGCUCUGGUUUGAGAAAGUACUUUAAAAGGAAGGGGCACAGCAGAGAGACUGAGUCUGAGGAGAGGCAGAGUGAUCUUCCAAUCAAAUCACGACCAAGAGCUGCUAGCAUUUGGUGGGGCCAACUCCAGUCGUCAGAGGGGUUGUGCAGAUUGUUGCCUAGGUGGGACUGAUGCACAGAACCAACAGAGUGCUGUCUCCAGCUGCAGAUCUUGAAGCGCGCUUAUGCAAGCAAGUGCCUAGGACUCUGAAAUCCAGUGGGGUAUAUGGUGGCAGUGUAAAUGCUACUAAGAUAAAUUUAAUUUACCACUGUAUACUAUAUUCAUUAAUUGAUUUUAUUCAACUGCCCCUUGUGGAUUAAAAUUAGUAGUGACAUUUAAUCUUAGUCUGUUAUUAGGGUGACGCCAGAGUCUGCACACCCAGCUGGAACCCUCACCUCCUCCUGCACCCUGAACCCCUCAUUUCUGGCCCCACCCAGAGCCUGCACCCCCUCCCACACACCAGCCCCUCGCCCUAGCCGAGUGACAGUGAGUGAGGGUUGGGGGAGAGUGAGCCACCAUGGGAGGAGGAAUGUAGGUGUGUUCCCAAGAGACACCAUUGAGUGUGUAUAGGGGCCAGCCAGGUGGACGCACCACCAAUUUUAAAUUCCUUUAGGAGUAAAGAGACUGAAGUAGAUAGGUGGAUAGAGGAUUCCCACCUAUCCAAAAUCACCACUGGGAAACUCAGGGUCUCUUUUAAUGUUAACAACAUCAGGUGCCCAGGCACACAAGUGAAUGUUGCCUGCUUUCGAGUAAGCCAGGGAGGAAGUGGGGGCAUACACAUGUAUUUUGUUCUUUUCUUACAGGAAGACGAAUUAUCUACUUGUAUUAUAAAGGAUACCCUUAUAACUCAGCUUAGAUUAGAAAGGGAUGCUGCAAGGUGCCACCUUCCCAGUGGUUGGCUUGUCAACAGCCAAGCUGUCUCUUCUUCCAGCCACAAAAGCAGUCAUCUCAUUGAAAGGAUCAGCAAAGCCUCAGGCUGCUGGUGCGCACAGGGACAGAAGAAUAGAUCCAUCUCCUCAACCUUACCAGCAGUCUCCCUCAGGGAAGAAGGGCCAUGGAGGGAAGAGGAAGAAAGGAGGUUUCUGAAUGGAAACGGAAUGGGUUGGACCUUGGAAGAAGGGAGAGAGUAAUGAGGAGGGUCUUAAAAUGGCAGCUGAAUACACGGUGGGAGAAGCAAAGGGAGCAGAGUGAGUAGACUAAGGGAAAUAAAGGGGAAUAGGC